RNAcentral lists this transfer RNA (71 nucleotides) under Marmota monax (woodchuck). It matches the Rfam family "tRNA". Rfam says of the family: Transfer RNA (tRNA) molecules are approximately 80 nucleotides in length. Their secondary structure includes four short double-helical elements and three loops (D, anti-codon, and T loops). Further hydrogen bonds mediate the characteristic L-shaped molecular structure. tRNAs have two regions of fundamental functional importance: the anti-codon, which is responsible for specific mRNA codon recognition, and the 3' end, to which the tRNAs corresponding amino acid is attached (by aminoacyl-tRNA synthetases). tRNAs cope with the degeneracy of the genetic code in two manners: having more than one tRNA (with a specific anti-codon) for a particular amino acid; and 'wobble' base-pairing, i.e. permitting non-standard base-pairing at the 3rd anti-codon position. Lineage: Eukaryota; Metazoa; Chordata; Mammalia; Rodentia; Sciuridae. The record is from Rfam by way of RNAcentral.
GCGGUUGUGGCUCAACGGUAGAGCACUCGCCUAGCAUGUGCGAGGCCCUGGGUUCAAUCCUCAGCACCACA